GGCCACGUGGCGGAGUGGUUACGCAACGGUCUGCAAAACCGUGCACUCGGGUUCGAGCCCCGACGUGGCCUCCA
RNAcentral lists this transfer RNA (74 nucleotides) under Bradyrhizobium quebecense. RNAcentral's name for it is "Bradyrhizobium sp. 66S1MB tRNA-Cys". It matches the Rfam family "tRNA". Rfam says of the family: Transfer RNA (tRNA) molecules are approximately 80 nucleotides in length. Lineage: Bacteria; Pseudomonadati; Pseudomonadota; Alphaproteobacteria; Hyphomicrobiales; Nitrobacteraceae. The record is from RNAcentral.